UUGGUUGUGUCACUCAAACUAAUACGCUGGGAGGAACUAGCUGUGAUAGUUAUUAUGUUCAACAAAACAGAGAGUUUGGGAAGUUUGCCUUGCAAGACUCAUUGUCAUUCACAGUUCUGAGUUUUUGGAAGCUUUAUUCUGCAUCGUUUAAUCUCUUUAAACAAGUCUCCUGUUCAGCUCUUUCAGAGGGAUUGGCACACUUGGUAUGAAUACCACACUCCUACCAACUCCUACAAUAACAUAUGCUGACUCUCAUUUAGCAUUGCACUAAUUCUAUCUGCUCUCCCUUAAUGCCCGGGAGUUAGAAAAGAGGAGAAAGUCACCCUCAGGAGUUUUCCCAUUGGUCUGGGUACAGAUAGGAGGAUGCAGAGGCUCUGUGACCAGCACUUCUAAACCACGACAGACGCUCCUUGUGGGAGAACGCUUUUCAAAGCAUCUCAGACAUUUCACAUUUACUCCUCGAAAAGCUGAACGACGAGUAAACCUGAACAAAUUUGGUUUGAGAACAACAGAAAAACUCAGCUCCAUGUCCACAUCCGUCUUACUGUUUUUCCGGGUCUAAAGAAGUUAACGCUCUACGUGCAGAAAGGAAGCCCGGCUGCCGACAGCCGAGGAAGCGGGAAAGGGCUGUGAGGCGGGCGGUGCCAUGGCGCCGAGGCCGGGCUGCUCCCCGCCGCUCCCCGGGCGCGCUCCGCCACCUGGUGGGCAGCUGGGCGCCGUGCGGAUACAUCGUUUGGUUCGGCCUACAAAUGUCUUUCGUUCAAAUAUAUCUGUAUUUUUAUUAAGCAUUUGUAAACUCAAGCUUGCCGAUUUCAAGGUGAGAAUAUUACUUAUCGAAUGUUUCUUUUUGCACUGACAGCUUUUUGACUUUUGAGCAGAACUGUUUCCUGCCUAAGAGGAUCGAAAUGGUCUGGACUGCUUGGAAAGUGUGGAUGAGCUCUUGUUCUACAGCUUCUCCAGCAUUAUCUCAUGUCUCUGUCUUCCUGCACUUGAUUGGGUACAAAUACACGAUCCAUCGCUCACAUAAAUUACUGUGUGCUGCAAUGGAGAAAGUCUUAGUGCUGUGGAGCGUGGCAGGCGCCCAAACAAUGAGGUCAUCUUGUGACAUAAACGCGGCUGUCCGCAACGCUUGGAGGCAAUUUCAGCCAUGUCACUUAACAAACAGUUUGCAUGUAAUCUAUCAGGAGAAGAAUGAAAAGACUUUUAUAUCUCA
This is a long non-coding RNA of Lagopus leucura (white-tailed ptarmigan), 1213 nucleotides long. RefSeq lists it as uncharacterized. The transcript is spliced from 2 exons. The record is from RefSeq and is a predicted model, not a curated record. NCBI's taxonomy places the organism in Eukaryota, Metazoa, Chordata, Aves, Galliformes, Phasianidae.